GUACAUUAGUCUCAUGAUUUCAUUUAAGGAAUUAAGUUAUAUGAGAUUAAAAGGAUUCAUUGCCAAGGAAUUGAAUGUCAAUUACCGCAGCAAAAACUGAUCUUAAACUUGGGCAAAGUUGUUUGGACUAGGUGGAAAUUGGGUUGUUACUUCAACAAUCCGUAAAAUCAAAACUUAACUGUGACAGGUGUGAGCACUAUGUCCCUUCUUUGAGCAGAGUUGGCAAAUAGUGUUGGAGUAGGAAGAGAUAAGAUGCUUGCCAAAUAGUGCAUGACGAUCCACACGUCCUUUAGAGAAGAUGUGUGUGGUAGAACUUGUGCUUUUCUGGGAAUCAUGAUAUCCCUGUGACAUUUGGGAUAUAGUGAGACAUUUGGGCAUGCUUUGAGUUCAACAUCUCUGAUGAAGGACUUCUUUCUUUGUUAAAGGUAUCAUUGAGGAUGAAUGGUCACAAAUCCAAAAAUAAAUGUCGCAUUCCACAAUCUAAAGGAAGUAAGUGAGCUGUUGUUUCUUCCUCGAACCUCCUUCACCAUACAAAUCAUUCCAGUGCUUCAACUCAUCCAUUACAGAUCCUUCUGAUGCAAAACUUGCAGCCUCUUGCAUUUAAUCAGAUAUCCGUAGUGCGAUGACUGGAGUAUUUUCUACGUCUUUCUUUGUUUUGUUCCAAUGGAGUCGUGUAAGGACCAUAUUACUUAUAAAAAAAUUUCAUACUUAAUUGUUUUUUAUGUAAUGUGAUGUUGAUUGGAGUGCUUCUUAAGUCUUUCUUUGUUUUGUUUCCGGAAAGUCAUACUAGGGCAUGCCACUUAAUAAAAAUUAAUUUCCAA
Glycine soja is the source of this 821-nucleotide long non-coding RNA. RefSeq lists it as uncharacterized. The record is from RefSeq and is a predicted model, not a curated record. The transcript is spliced from 2 exons. NCBI's taxonomy places the organism in Eukaryota, Viridiplantae, Streptophyta, Magnoliopsida, Fabales, Fabaceae.